This is a long non-coding RNA of Mercenaria mercenaria, 3560 nucleotides long. RefSeq lists it as uncharacterized. The record is from RefSeq and is a predicted model, not a curated record. The transcript has 8 exons. NCBI's taxonomy places the organism in Eukaryota, Metazoa, Mollusca, Bivalvia, Venerida, Veneridae.
ACUUCAACAUGUUUCAGAUAAAACCAAUUCUUGCAGUCAAACCUGUGCUGAAUACCACCUCUGAACAAUAGCACCUUUCCAGAGAGACCACACCAAUUUCUUUGCAGAUUUAUUUGGAAUUACAGAACUGUUGGUGACUUACUAGUACUGUUCAGUCUAGGCUAAUAUUUGUGACUGGAAUCCGAACUUCUGUUACCAAAUUACCAAGGAAUAACAGAAAAAGCUUAGGAAAUAUUGAAAACAUCUGAUAUGGAUCCUCAGACUGUUGGAAGAUGUUUUGUAAAAAGGUUCUACAACAAAGGUUUUGUCAAUAUAGGUGACAGCUCGACAAAGAUUUAUUUCGUCGAUUCUAAGGGUACCAAAGACAAUACAAUUAUUGUAAAGGUAUUUUGUACAUUUUGGUCCAUUUAAAAUGCUUUAAAUAAAGCAUAAAAAGUAGAUUUACAGCUGAUUAUUGAAAUCGUAAGCAAAAAAUUUACAAAAUGUUCUGUCUCAACGAAAUUAUUAGUCCCAUACUGGUUGAAAACCAGUUUCGGGGACUAUAAAGGAAUGUGCUUUUCUGUCAUUCUGUCAUUCCUUCUGUCCGUCUGUCCAUAAUUUUGUCCAGUCCAUCACUCUGUUAUCUGUGGAGGGAUUUUAGUAUUAUUUGGCACAAAUGUUUCUCAUAAUGAGAUGACCCCGGACCCAUAGUUACAAUUGGAGGUCAAAAGUCAACAGGGCUGUUUUCCUGUCUAGUCCAUAACUGCCAUCCAUAAAGGGAUUUUAAUAUUACUUGGCACAAAUGAACCUCAUAAUAAGACGAUGUGUCAUGCGCAAGUUUCAGACCCCUAGCGCAAAGGUCAAGGUCAUACUUGGCAGUCCGGUGUUAACAUGGCAUGAACAGGGUCUGUUUUGAGUCCAGUACAUAAUGCUGUCAUUCAUCAAUGGAUUUAAUAUCACAUGGCACAAAUAUUUCCCAUGAUGAGACGUGUCAUGCGCAAUACCCGGACCCAUAGUCACAAUUGGAGGUCAAAGGUCAAUAGGGCUGUUUUCCUGUCCGGUCCAUAACUCUGUCAUCCGUGAAAGGAUUUUAAUAUUACUUGGCACAAAUGUUCCUCAUAAUGAGACAACAUGUCAUGCGCAAUAUCUGGACCCCUAGUCACAACUGGAGGUCAAAAGUCAACAGGUUUUCCUGUCGGGUCCAUUACUCUGCCAUCCAUGCAGGGAUUUUAAUAUUACUUGGCACAAAGGUACCUCUUAAUAAGACAAUGUGUCAUGCACAACUUUCAGAACCCUAGCUUAAAGGUCAAGGUCAAACUUGGAAGUCAAAUAUUAACAUGGCAUGAACAGGGUCUGUUUUCUGUCCAGUCCAUAACUCUGUCAUUCAUUAAGGGAUUUUAAUAUCACUUGGCACAAAUGUUAACCAUGAUGAGACGACAUGUCUUGCCCAAAUCCCGGACCCCUGGCUCAAAGGUCAAAGUCAGAAUUGGAGGUCAAAGGUCUACAGCGCUUUUUUUCUGUCCGGUCCAAAACACUGCCGUCCAUGAAGGGAUGUUAAUAUUACUAAGCACAAAUGUUCCCCAUUAUGAGAUAACGUAUCGUGCGCAAAACUCGGACUCCUAGCUCAAAGGUCAAGAUCGCAAUUGGAGGUCAAAAGUUAGUAGUUUUUUUUUCUAUCUCUUCCAGAACUCUAUCAUCCAUCAAGGGAUUUUAAAAUUACUUGGCAGAAAUGUUCCCCAUGAUGAGAUGACCUGUCUUGCGCAACACCACGAACCCUAGCCUGAAGGUCAGGGUGCGUUUCUUAAAGAAUCUUAAGUCUGUUUUUACUCCUAAGUGCAAAACUAGGUGAAAACUGCAUUUCAAGAAAAAUCUUAAUGCGCACUAUGUGUGAAAUUAAGACUAAAAUUAGGACUAUUCCUAGGGGUGCCUCAGUUAACUUUUAUCUUUUGUCUUAAGACAAAAACUAGUGCAAAAAUAAAGUGGCGGCGCCGAUGUAUCUUGCGCUUUUCAGUGAUUUUCCGCUAUAAAUUACGAAAAAGUUAGCCCAACUGAUAAGUGAUUUUGUAAUACACCUUCCAAUACUGUGAAUUUACUGUGACGCAGUAUAAGCUACAUCGUCCAAUCAUAGACUGUUUUACAAUGGGUCGGAGAUAGUGUUGCUUAUCGACAGCGUCAAACAAAAUGAUACAUGUAGAUCUAUUCAGUUUCAACGCUGGACAUUUAACAAAUUACAUCUUGAGGUAUGUUUCAUCUACACUACAGUUACUUGUUUUAUAUGAUUACAUGUAUUGCAUCAUUUAUUCCUUGUGUUAUCUGGGCUCAAAAUUAAUCACUCUCCACCCACCCAGAAAUGCACCAGCGACCAGUAGGGGUGGAUUCAGUAAGUGAGUUACUGUAGUGGGGUGCGGAGUUUUUAGUUGGAUUCAAAUGCAUAUCACCUUCGAAAAUUAUUGGCAAAUAUAGCUCUACUAAAGUGACAAGAGUGUGACGUAUGUUUGAACAUGAAUAUUAUAUAGAUACUGUACUGUACAGCUGUAAAUAUUCACACAAAAUAAAAUGAUUUGACUAAGGUAAUUUAUGCUAAAAAGUAAUAUUUCUUUCAAAUUGAAGCUUUGGUCAUAUUAUGAACAUUAGAAUAUGAAUUUUUGUUUCUAAAAUACUUUAAAAAUUCUAUAUAAAAAAAAAAGGAUGACCGCGUCAGGAAUCGAACCCUGACCCGCCGCAAUAAUAAAGACACUUUUCUGUCGUCGUAACCAAUAGCGUGCGCCCUAUAGCUGAAGUAGUGAAUAAUGAUUUCAAAAUAAGAUAUUUAUAAUUGAGACAGUUUACCCGAAGUAAAAGCGUGACAAACGCUUUUCAAUUUUCAUCGUAAAAAGUAGUAAAAAAAGCAAAUUCUCAUGUGUUUCCUUAACAUAAAGUUUGUCGGCAAUUAAUUAAGUUUUAAAGCUUUGUUAAGAAAUAUAGCAUUUAUUUCAAGAUAUCUAAAAAAAAUUGUUUUGUUGUCCAACAAUCUGGAGACAUGUCGCUUUAAAGAAAGCAGGGCAAGAAAUGGCUGUCCACACUCUGGGCAAGAAAUAAGCAUGCAUUGAUGGAAUGUACAUUAUUUACUAUGAUUUAGUUUCCAGAUAAAGAAGGCAGGGCAAGAAAUGGCUGUCCACACUCUGGACAAAAAAUGAGCAUGCUUUGAUGGAACAUCAUUUAGUUCCCAGCAGAUUCCAGAUAGAAGUUCUUUCCAGAUGUAAAGUGAAUUGAUGAAAUCUUGAAAAAGUGUUGUGAGUGUUGGUGUUGUCCAGAUUUAAAAAAAAAGAGGAUCAAAUUUGAUGUGGAAUGAUUCAAAACAAAUCUUCAAAUUGACAAUGGCAAAAAGCAAGUGGAAAUGGAAUACUCCAGUUGAUGAAAAUGGUUAGCAUGGAUAGUUUUUGCCUGUGAAAAGUGCAGAGAUCUAUACACUACUGGUCUGCUCAGCUUGGUCAGUUCACAAAUAUUUUGUUAGAAAGUCUGCAAAGCCAUCGACUUGAAUACAUUGGUUAUUUUCCUUGUACCAACAAUAUGGAAAUAAAAUUUAUUUAUAAAUUUGAAAA